RNAcentral lists this ribosomal RNA (521 nucleotides) under Wilmottia murrayi PJ S14. RNAcentral describes it as "bacterial SSU rRNA". It matches the Rfam family "Bacterial small subunit ribosomal RNA", at positions 400 to 949 of the family's 1533-position model. Lineage: Bacteria; Bacillati; Cyanobacteriota; Cyanophyceae; Coleofasciculales; Wilmottiaceae. The record is from RNAcentral.
CGUGAGGGAGCAGGCUCUUGGGUUGUAAACCUCUUUUCUUGGGGAAGAAAAAAUGACGGUACCCAAGGAAUCAGCAUCGGCUAACUCCGUGCCAGCAGCCGCGGUAAUACGGAGGAUGCAAGCGUUAUCCGGAAUUAUUGGGCGUAAAGCGUCCGCAGGUGGCACUUCAAGUCUGCUGUCAAAGACCGGGGCUUAACCCUGGAGAGGCAGUGGAAACUGAAGCGCUAGAGUGUCGUAGGGGUAGAGGGAAUUCCUGGUGUAGCGGUGAAAUGCGUAGAGAUCAGGAAGAACAUCGGUGGCGAAAGCGCUCUACUGGACGACAACUGACACUCAGGGACGAAAGCUAGGGGAGCGAAUGGGAUUAGAUCCCCCCCGAAAACGAUGGAUACUAGGUGUGGCUUGUAUCGCCCGAGCCGUGCCGUAGCUAACGCGUUAAGUAUCCCGCCUGGGGAGUACGCGCGCAAGCGUGAAACUCAAAGGAAUUGACGGGGCCCGCACAAGCGGUGGAGUAUGUGGUUUAA